AAACCAGCACCUCAAGUGGUCAGGAGGAUUAUUGGGCCUAAAGCAUCCGUAGCCUGCUUUGUAAGUUUUCGGUUAAAUCCAUAUGCUCAACAUAUGGGCUGCCGGGAAUACUGCAUAGCUAGGGAGUGGGAGAGGUAGACGGUACUCCGUAGGAAGGGGUAAAAUCCUUUGAUCUAUGGAUGACCACCUGUGGCGAAGGCGGUCUACCAGAACACGUCCGACGGUGAGGGAUGAAAGCUGGGGGAGCAAACCGGAUUAGAUACCCGGGUAGUCC
This 274-nucleotide ribosomal RNA is filed under the name uncultured bacterium. RNAcentral's name for it is "partial 16S ribosomal RNA". It matches the Rfam family "Archaeal small subunit ribosomal RNA", at positions 473 to 747 of the family's 1478-position model. The record is from RNAcentral.